Molecule: ribosomal RNA, 426 nt
Filed under: uncultured Burkholderia sp.
Lineage: Bacteria; Pseudomonadati; Pseudomonadota; Betaproteobacteria; Burkholderiales; Burkholderiaceae
Description: bacterial SSU rRNA
Rfam family: Bacterial small subunit ribosomal RNA
Source: RNAcentral
UCCUACGGGAGGCAGCAGUGGGGAAUUUUGGACAAUGGGCGAAAGCCUGAUCCAGCAAUGCCGCGUGUGUGAAGAAGGCCUUCGGGUUGUAAAGCACUUUUGUCCGGAAAGAAAUCCUUGGCUCUAAUACAGUCGGGGGAUGACGGUACCGGAAGAAUAAGCACCGGCUAACUACGUGCCAGCAGCCGCGGUAAUACGUAGGGUGCGAGCGUUAAUCGGAAUUACUGGGCGUAAAGCGUGCGCAGGCGGUUUGCUAAGACCGAUGUGAAAUCCCCGGGCUCAACCUGGGAACUGCAUUGGUGACUGGCAGGCUAGAGUAUGGCAGAGGGGGGUAGAAUUCCACGUGUAGCAGUGAAAUNCNUAGAGAUGUGGAGGAAUACCGAUGGCGAAGGCAGCCCCCUGGGCCAAUACUGACGCUCAUGCACC